CAUCGCCGCGGUAAUACGAAGGGGGCUAGCGUUGCUCGGAAUUACUGGGCGUAAAGCGUGCGUAGGCGGUUCGUUAAGUCUGUUGCGAAAGCCCCGGGCUCAACCUGGGAAUGGCAAUGGAUACUGGCGAGCUAGAGUGUGUCAGAGGAUGGUGGAAUUCCCGGUGUAGCGGUGAAAUGCGUAGAGAUCGGGAGGAACAUCAGUGGCGAAGGCGGCCAUCUGGGACAACACUGACGCUGAGGCACGAAAGCGUGGGGAGCAAACAGGAUUAGAUACCCGAGUAGUCCCUGUCUCUUAUACA
RNAcentral lists this ribosomal RNA (301 nucleotides) under uncultured bacterium. Its description in RNAcentral is "partial 16S ribosomal RNA". It matches the Rfam family "Bacterial small subunit ribosomal RNA", at positions 512 to 808 of the family's 1533-position model. The record is from RNAcentral.